UGGUGUCUUCUCCACUUCAACCG
Molecule: non-coding RNA, 23 nt
Filed under: Arabidopsis thaliana (thale cress)
Lineage: Eukaryota; Viridiplantae; Streptophyta; Magnoliopsida; Brassicales; Brassicaceae
Source: RNAcentral